This 253-nucleotide ribosomal RNA is filed under the name uncultured bacterium. Its description in RNAcentral is "partial 16S ribosomal RNA". It matches the Rfam family "Bacterial small subunit ribosomal RNA", at positions 524 to 776 of the family's 1533-position model. The record is from RNAcentral.
UACGUAGGGGGCAAGCGUUGUCCGGAUUUACUGGGCGUAAAGAGCGCGUAGGCGGAAGCUUAAGUGUGGCCUGAAAGCCCCCGGCUCAACCGGGGAAGGUGGCUGCAAACUGGGUUUCUUGAGGGCGAUAGAGGAGAGCGGAAUUCCUGGUGUAGCGGUGAAAUGCGUAGAUAUCUGGAGGAAUACCGGUGGCGAAGGCGGCAUCCUGGACCGGCAUUGACGCUGAGGAGCGAAAGCUAGGGGAGCAAACGGG